CUUCAAAGGCUGGGGAGAAUCAGAAUUAUACAGGGAGGGAGAGACUGAGUGUGAGUGAGUGUGCGUGGCAGUGGUGUUUCUUAGGACGAUGGGUUCUGGGGGGUCAUAAUCUGCUUCGAGGAGGUUUUCAUUUCUGGCUGAACAAGGCUGUGGUAAGGCAAGUCCGGAAGGCAUGCUGGAAACUUGAGGGAAGUUUUGAAUGGAAACUGCAGUCAACAGCUCCAUAUGAUCCGCAUGUGGCUUCCCCAGAGGCAAGUUUUCAGCUGCGUGGUGGCCUCUCCCAGUCACUCCACAGGCUGCCCUGACGCUAUUAAUAUUUGCUGAAGCAAGACCUGAGGUUCGUUGCAGAUGGAUUACACAAUGUAUUCCAAAACCAAAUGUUACUGUUUUCCUGUAUUCUCCAUCCUUUCAAAUUGGCCAGGCUAACAUAGACCUCCACUGAGAGAAUUUCAGAAUCAUUUGGUAGUUGAGAAGCGCCUACUUCAUGCGGAGGCCCCGUGGGAGGAGUGGAAGAGUUGGCCUCAGCACUGGCGAGUAUCGGAUGGGAGCUCUGCUCACUUGGUAAGUCCUUCUGCUAGAACCAAGGGAGGCUGUUCAGAUCCAUCACAAAGAAGUUGUCGGUCACAUCCAGGUUGUCUUCUGAGUUUGAGGUGGGAUGGAGGUGGCUGCUGAGAAUCCAUGUGGGUCAAGAGCUCCAAAGCUUCACUUUUACUUCGCACUCUGUCCCGGGGCAUGGACGUCCUCAAUGGAGGUCAUGCAAGCCCUUCCCCCUCACCCCUUCUCUUGGCCCUCUUCAUUGUCUCUACAUACCCUUGGGUCAAGAGUGUAGUGGUUCUCCCUUGUCACCCUGGAAGAGAAGCUCUUAGUUUUAUUUGCUGGGUCUCCUAGACUGAAAUGAUAAAGCUGAAAUGAUAAAAGGCGUAUCAUGGCUUUAGAACCCUUCUUAUUUCCCUCGCUCGCACCCCCUAGUUUUCCUUCUCUUCCCUUGAAAAUCAGUGAAAAUCAGGCCACAUCUCUGAUGAUGGCCUUUUGUUUCUUUUUCUUUUUCUGUUUCUGCCUUCGUUAGGUAAGCACAAAUUUGAUGUCCCAAGAGGCAGGCCGGUGACCCUUCAGGCCAAGUGCCUGGAUGUGGCAAAGCUACAAUAAAUAUCGAAUGGUGAGAGCAAUGGAAAUUUAGCAAAGCCAUAACCGGGGAGACCUCAGAGGGGCAGUGGACUGGUUAAGAGGCUGUUGGAUGAGCCGGGUAGUAUUUCUACUUCAACCUGAUUGAAAUGUCGACUAAAAAUCAAUGCUGUUGACUAGUGAUAAUUUACAACGUUCCUGGUGCUAAGUAGUUCCCCGCUUAAGAAUGCGUUGGCUGGGCAGAGAUUAGCGCAGGGAGUUGUGUGUGUCACAAUGAAUCAGACGCAUUAUAGGUCAGCCCUUUAUUUGUUUCAUCAUGACUUUUACACAGUUGUCAUGUAAUUUAUGGCUGCUUUCACGUUGUCAAACAUUUUCAUUGCAUCUUCUUCUUUAACACCCUCCUGACAUAGACACACUGCACUUGAAGGCUUGGUAUUGUUUCAUAAUCCGAGAGGAGGCCUAUAAACCAUCAAAUUACACUAUCUUUGGGCUAAUCUAAAUGCGCUGCAGAUUAAAAUCAGAGCUCAUUUGUCCCUGAUGCAAAUUAUUAAGUUCUAAUUAUAAAUACCCAUUUAAUUACCCGACACAUUUUUAUUUUGCGGACCCUUUUGAGCACUGCUGUCUGCGAUGCAGAGGGGGUGGGGGGAGAUGCAUAGGAGACAAUCUGCAGUAAUUAAUGUACACUUCCCAAAUGGUAAAGGAUAAACAUAUGCUGCUUUGUUUGUCUUAUUUAUUUAUUGAUUAGAUGUAUAGAGACUUUGGCGUGGGCACAAUCUGAAGUUGAAAUCCUUUUAAAGAUGAAAACUAUUUAAAAAUCUUUUGGGGAAGAAAGAGCAAAAUAUAGCCAACCAAUAGCUUUCUGCUAGAACACAUCAUCCCAAAAUAUGGGAUUCUGAAUUUGAUCAAAUCACCAGUUUCUGAAUUUGAUCAAAUCUAGAUUUUGCAGAAGUUCAGGGUGAGAGAAACCAUGCCUGUUUUAUAUCUAGAAAGUGAAAUCAUUGUUAUAGAAAAAACCUACUGUGGUUAGAAAAAAACCACAUUCUUUUUUCCCAGCCCUGCUGCCAUCCUCUACCAGAAAAUAACAGUAUCUGCCUGUAGUAUGAAGACCUUCCAAUUGAGAGCAUUAUGAUAAACUAUUUUUGAUUACCAAACACGAAUGAAGGAAGAAGAUAACAUAAAAAUUAGUAAAGGCCUUCCAAGUAGACAUUUACCCUUCUGUGAAAGCCAUGGAGAAAUUACCAAGACUGGUUUGGGGGGAGGGCAUUUAAGGUCUUUUGGGCAUUACAGAUUUUCCAGAACCAAACUUUGACUUUUAGUGUUAACAGAGAGACACUGAUCUGAAAACCAGGACACCUGGGUUCUGACCCUUAUUGUAUCAUGCUGUGAGAUUUUGGGCUCCCUUCACCUGUUAGCAUUUGUUUCCUUGUCUUGUAAAGUAGGUAAAAUAGAUAGUUUGGACUGGGUGGGUCUCUAAGUCCCCAUGAUGUUCUAGCAUAGUAUGAACACCACUGACCAGUUUUCUCCCUGCUAUUUUUUGGAAUCUAGUUGCUGAAUGGGGCUCACCUGCAAAGACAGCAGAAUAUUAUUUUCUUGAUUUGCCUCAAAGAUGGAAGCUAUGGUGGAGAUUAAGGCUUGGAUUCGUGAUUCCCCAACAGAAAGCUUAAAGGCAUCUUUCAAAUUGCUGGAAGCAAAAUUGAAGUGCAGUAUAAUGGAAUGGUGAUAAUUCACAGAAGUUUCCAGCCUUAUAAGAUUUCUCCAUCUUUUAAUUGUUGCAAGCUGUUUUUUUUGAAAAACUCCAAAGAAUGUAAUGUGUAUUUUCUCCAAGUUUGCUUUUUUGGGCAAAUGUAACUACAUCAAAAUAGAAGUACGUUUUUGAAAAAGAAAUAGUUGAAUUCAAACAACCAGGUAUUUUAAAUUCAAUUAACUGACUGAAUUCAGUGAUAUUUUCCUCCUUCCUCCUCCCAAAAGCUGGUUUCUCUGUAUGGACAUAGCCUACAUAUGCUGAGUCCCUGGAGUUAGGAAUUUUUGCUUGUUAAAGGCAUCCGAUGCAACAUGUUUAGAAGAACUCUCCCUCUGUUAGUGUUGAAGACAGCAUAAAUUGAGGGAAAAUGUUCUUUUUUUAUUCAUCAUGUAGGUAAAAGCAUAUGGCCUGUUCUGGGACAUGCGAUCUUUGCAAUCCAUUUUUUAAACUUGGUGUUUACCAUUGGCUUUUAGCACGGAUGUUUCUGUUUUCCACACUGUCCAGCAAAUACCAUUUAUAUGUGGCAUUGAAUGAGAUAUGAAAUGUUUUCAGAAGCAUGCUGAAAAAGGGCAUUCAAAGUUAUCCUUUGGAUAAUGAUGAUCUAAAACUUUCUUUUAUUAUCCCAUGUGCUCAGAGUAAGGGGCAAAUGAAUCAGUUGUGAAAUAUGUGUUCCUUGUAGGACACAGGCACUCUUGAGAUCUAUAGCUUCAAUAAAAAGGUAAUUUAUUUAAAUUACUGCCUCUUUAAUUUAUAAUGUUUUGGGGAUUUUUAAUAGGCAUGCUCUGUAAGGGCACUGGUAAUCAGCUGUUUCUGAUUUUGCAUGCUCUUCUAUCUCUGGUAACAAAAUAAAAUCUU
RNAcentral lists this long non-coding RNA (3718 nucleotides) under Homo sapiens (human). RNAcentral's name for it is "non-protein coding lnc-PUS10-5:2". The record is from RNAcentral. Lineage: Eukaryota; Metazoa; Chordata; Mammalia; Primates; Hominidae.